Anas platyrhynchos (mallard) is the source of this 878-nucleotide non-coding RNA. The record is from the annotation of a RefSeq genome assembly. Lineage: Eukaryota; Metazoa; Chordata; Aves; Anseriformes; Anatidae.
ACUUUGGUGAUGAGAACAUGGUGCCUGCAAUGCCCAAGUAUUUCUAAGGAAAAACUCUUCCUGUUCCCCACUGCACUGCCCUUGCUCCCUGACCACCGGUGCUGCCAGGAGGAGCCUGGGGGACACUUCCCUGUGGCUCGAUGCAGGGGCUCUCCAGCUGCCACCCGAGGGAGGCACCUCCUCCUCCCACGUGGCACAGCUCAGCCUGCCCCGGGGACAGUUUCCUUCUGCAAGUCGCAACUCGGAGAACAGAGAGCUCUGAGACAGCUGAGUGGGACACGCCAACAUGCUGCUGCUGGCAGCGCUGGUGGCCACAACCACUUGGUCUUAUGGAUUUGCACAGGAAAUUCCCAUACAGACACCUAUAUCCAUCACCAAAUCUCAAGGAAGUACACGUCUGCAAUGUCAUUUUAAAGAAAUCUCUGCAAAUUUUGAUAGCACCACCAUACACUGGUACCAGCAGAAGGAGAAUAAAGCUCCAGAGUGGAUGUUCUACAUUUCAACAGGGACAACGAAAGCAGAUAAGAGCCUCCAAGGGCGCACAUAUACAAUUGAAAGGGUUUCUAGGCAGAAAAUUUGUACUCUUACAAUAAAAAACAUAGCUCCAGAUGCCGCUGCUACCUACUACUGUGCCUACUGGGACUCUCACUACAGCAGAAACCCAGCGAUCACCUCGACCAAUACUCCCUCGGUGGCUCAACCACAAAUGAUUUGAAGGAUCCCAACUCACUUCCCCCAGCGUGGAUGAGCUGUCCAGCCUCAACACACAGCCUCUGCACACCCAGGACUGGCUCGGUGCUGAGCCACUCCUUGGAGGGGGCAGCUGCCAAAAGCUGGGGAUUUUGACGGAGCAAGUAGCACGUGCAAAGGGAACAGCG